Molecule: unclassified non-coding RNA, 212 nt
Filed under: Hevea brasiliensis (rubber tree)
Lineage: Eukaryota; Viridiplantae; Streptophyta; Magnoliopsida; Malpighiales; Euphorbiaceae
Source: RNAcentral
UCAUGGUUGAUUCCAAAAGAGGAGAUGGAGGCAACAACAAGGGCAGCACAAGAUGACUCGGCAUAUGAGCCAAAAAGAUCAGACCCCAUACCAGCAAUAUCUCCAACAUUGUCACCAACAUUGUCAGCAAUGACAGCUGGGUUUCUAGGAUCAUCUUCUGGAAUGUUUCUCUCAACCUUUCCCACAAGAUCUGCACCAACAUCAGCAGCUUU